CCUACGGGUGGCAGCAGUGAGGAAUAUUGGUCAAUGGACGAGAGUCUGAACCAGCCAAGUAGCGUGAAGGAGGACUGCCCUAUGGGUUGUAAACUUCUUUUAUAUGGGAAUAAAACGUUCCACGUGUGGGAUUUUGUAUGUACCAUAUGAAUAAGGAUCGGCUAACUCCGUGCCAGCAGCCGCGGUAAUACGGAGGAUCCGAGCGUUAUCCGGAUUUAUUGGGUUUAAAGGGAGCGUAGGUGGAUUGUUAAGUCAGUUGUGAAAGUUUGCGGCUCAACCGUAAAAUUGCAGUUGAAACUGGCAGUCUUGAGUACAGUAGAGGUGGGCGGAAUUCGUGGUGUAGCGGUGAAAUGCUUAGAUAUCACGAAGAACUCCGAUUGCGAAGGCAGUUCACUGGACUGCAACUGACACUGAGGCUCGAAAGUGUGGGUAUCAAACAGGAUUAGAUACCCCAGUAGUC
RNAcentral lists this ribosomal RNA (460 nucleotides) under uncultured bacterium. RNAcentral's name for it is "partial 16S ribosomal RNA". It matches the Rfam family "Bacterial small subunit ribosomal RNA", at positions 338 to 795 of the family's 1533-position model. The record is from RNAcentral.